Molecule: ribosomal RNA, 778 nt
Filed under: uncultured Mesotoga sp.
Lineage: Bacteria; Thermotogati; Thermotogota; Thermotogae; Kosmotogales; Kosmotogaceae
Description: bacterial SSU rRNA
Rfam family: Bacterial small subunit ribosomal RNA
Source: RNAcentral
AGAGUUUGAUUAUGGCUCAGGGUGAACGCUGGCGGCGUGCUUGACACAUGCAAGUCGAACGGUAUGUGGCAACACAUAGAGUGGCGAACGGGUGAGUAACACGUGGGAACGUACCCUACGCAGGGGGAUAACUGACCGAAAGGACAGCUAAUACCGCAUAAGACCGAAAGGUGAAAGGUGCAACUGCACCGGCGAAGGAGCGGCCCGCGGACCAUCAGCUAGUUGGUGGGGUAAGAGCCUACCAAGGCAACGACGGAUAGCCGGCGUGAGAGCGUGGCCGGCCACAAGGACACUGAGAUACGGGUCCUACUCCUACGGGAGGCAGCAGUGCGGAAUUUUAGAUAAUGGAGGCAACUCUGAUCUAGCGACGCCGCGUGCAGGAAGAAGGUCUUCGGAUUGUAAACUGCUGUGGUAAGGGAAAAAUGCCAUGUAGAGUGGAAAGCUACAUGGAGGGAUGGUACCUUACUAGAAAGCCCCGGCUAGCUACGUGCCAGCAGCCGCGGUAAUACGUAGGGGGCGAGCGUUACCCGGAAUCACUGGGCGUAAAGGGAGCGUAGGUGGCCUGACAUGUCAACUGUGAAAACCCGGAGCUCAACUCCGGACUUGCAGUUGAAACUGCCAGGCUUGAGGACGGUAGAGGAAGACGGAACUGCCAGUGUAGGGGUAAAAUCCUUAGAUAUUGGCAGGAACGCCGGUGACGAAGGUGGUUUUCUGGGCCGGUUCUGACACUGAUGCUCGAAAGCCAGGGGAGCGAACGGGAUUAGAUACCCUGGUAGUC